Molecule: unclassified non-coding RNA, 328 nt
Filed under: Candida sp. 3 CS-2017
Lineage: Eukaryota; Fungi; Ascomycota; Pichiomycetes; Serinales; Debaryomycetaceae
Description: sequence contains ITS1
Rfam family: 5.8S ribosomal RNA (bases 53-201)
Source: RNAcentral
GUUUUUGAGCAACACUAAUAACCAUUAAUAUUCAAUAACUUAGAAAAAUCAAAACUUUCAACAACGGAUCUCUUGGUUCUCGCAUCGAUGAAGAACGCAGCGAAUUGCGAUACGUAUCAUGACUUGCAGACGUGAAUCAUCAAUCUUUGAACGCACAUUGCGCCUUGAGGUAUUCCUCAAGGCAUGCCUGUUUGAGCGUCGGCUCCCUUCAAACCCCCGGGUUUGGUGUUGCCUUCCGAAAUAUCACAGUUGUUGCAAUACGUUACUUCAACUUUAUUCUUUCGCCCUCAAAUCAGGUAGGACUACCCGCUGAACUUAAGCAUAUCAA